AGUAAACCGUAACGACUCUCGGCAACGGAUAUCUCGGCUCUCGCAUCGAUGAAGAACGUAGCGAAAUGCGAUACUUGGUGUGAAUUGCAGAAUCCCGUGAACAAUUGAGUCUUUGAACUCAAGUUGCGCCCGAACCCAUUAGGCCGAGGGCACGU
This 155-nucleotide ribosomal RNA is filed under the name Kalanchoe longifolia. Its description in RNAcentral is "5.8S ribosomal RNA". It matches the Rfam family "5.8S ribosomal RNA". Rfam says of the family: 5.8S ribosomal RNA (5.8S rRNA) is a component of the large subunit of the eukaryotic ribosome. It is transcribed by RNA polymerase I as part of the 45S precursor that also contains 18S and 28S rRNA. Functionally, it is thought that 5.8S rRNA may be involved in ribosome translocation. The record is from RNAcentral. Lineage: Eukaryota; Viridiplantae; Streptophyta; Magnoliopsida; Saxifragales; Crassulaceae.